UACGGAAGGCAGCAGUGGGGAAUCUUGCGCAAUGGGCGAAAGCCUGACGCAGCGACGCCGCGUGAGGGAGGAAGGCCUUCGGGUUGUAAACCCUCUUUUCAGGAGGGACGAAGCUACUCGGGUGAAUAGCCCAGAGGGUGACGGUACCUCCAGAAGAAGCCCCGGCUAACUACGUGCCAGCAGCCGCGGUAAUACGUAGGGGGCAAGCGUUGUCCGGAUUUACUGGGCGUAAAGAGCGUGUAGGCGGCCAAGCAGGUCCGUUGUGAAAACUGGAGGCUUAACCUCCAGACGUCGACGGAAACCGCGUGGCUAGAGUCCGGAAGAGGAGAGUGGAAUUCCUGGUGUAGCGGUGAAAUGCGCAGAUAUCAGGAAGAACACCAAUGGCGAAAGGCAGCUCUCUGGGACGGUACUGACGCUGAGACGCGAAAGCGUGGGGAGCGGAACAGGGACUUAGGAUAC
Molecule: ribosomal RNA, 459 nt
Filed under: uncultured bacterium
Lineage: Bacteria
Description: bacterial SSU rRNA
Rfam family: Bacterial small subunit ribosomal RNA
Source: RNAcentral